Molecule: ribosomal RNA, 406 nt
Filed under: uncultured bacterium
Lineage: Bacteria
Description: partial 16S ribosomal RNA
Rfam family: Bacterial small subunit ribosomal RNA
Source: RNAcentral
AUUGAACGCUGGCGGCAGGCCUAACACAUGCAAGUCGAGCGAGUGGCGGACGGGUGAGUAAUGUCUGGGGAACUGCCCGAUGGAGGGGGAUAACUACUGGAAACGGUGGCUAAUACCGCAUACCAUCGGAUGUACCCAUAUGGGAUUAGCUAGUAGGUGGGGUAAAGGCUCACCUAGGCGACGAUCUCUAGCUGGUCUGAGAGGAUGAUCAGCCAAACGGGAACUGAGACACGGUCCAGACUCCUACGGGAGGCAGCAGUGGGGAAUAGUGCACAAUGGGCGCAAGCCUGAUGCAGCCAUGCCGCGUGUAUGAAGAAGGCCUUAGGGUUGUAAAGUACUUUCAGCGGGGAGGCGUUACCCGCAGAAGAAGCACCGGCUAACUCCGUGCCAGCAGCCGCGGUAAUAC